GACGAACGCUGGCGGCGUGCUUAACACAUGCAAGUCGAACGAAGUGGCGAACGGGUGAGUACCGCGUAAUCAACCUGCCCUUCAGAGGGGGAUAACAGUUGGAAACGACUGCUAAUACCGCAUACUUACGGAGGGGAUUGCGUCUGAUUCGCUCGUUGGAGGGGUAACGGCCCACCAAGGCGAAGAUCAGUAGACGGUCGGAGAGGAUGAACGGACAAAUUGGGAAUGAGACAAGGACCAGACUCCUACGGGAGGGAGCAGGGGGGAAUCGUCCGCAAUGGACGAAAGUCGGACGGAGCAACGCCGCGUGAGUGAUGACGGCCUUCGGGUUGGAAAGCUCUGUUAAUCGGGACGCGGUACCGGAAUAGAAAGCCACGGCUAACUACGUGCCAGCAGCCGCGGUAAUAC
RNAcentral lists this ribosomal RNA (408 nucleotides) under uncultured bacterium. Its description in RNAcentral is "partial 16S ribosomal RNA". It matches the Rfam family "Bacterial small subunit ribosomal RNA", at positions 28 to 526 of the family's 1533-position model. The record is from RNAcentral.